This 238-nucleotide ribosomal RNA is filed under the name Molva molva (ling). RNAcentral describes it as "partial SSU". It matches the Rfam family "Bacterial small subunit ribosomal RNA", at positions 521 to 878 of the family's 1533-position model. The record is from RNAcentral. Lineage: Eukaryota; Metazoa; Chordata; Actinopteri; Gadiformes; Lotidae.
UUAUACGAGAGACCCAAGUUGAUGAAAAACGGCGUAAAGCGUGGUUAAGGAAAUAAAAAGAAUAGGGCCGAACAACCUCAAAGCAGUUAUACGCAUUCGAGGUCACGAAGCACAGUCACGAAAGUGGCCCUACUAAAUCCCUGAUUCCACGAAAGCCAUAAAACAAACUGGGAUUAGAUACCCCACUAUGUAUGGUCGUUAACAUUGAUGGUUUUAUACCCAAACCAUCCGCCUGGGG